This 72-nucleotide transfer RNA is filed under the name Candidatus Nealsonbacteria bacterium CG23_combo_of_CG06-09_8_20_14_all_38_19. RNAcentral describes it as "tRNA-Gly". It matches the Rfam family "tRNA". Rfam says of the family: Transfer RNA (tRNA) molecules are approximately 80 nucleotides in length. Their secondary structure includes four short double-helical elements and three loops (D, anti-codon, and T loops). Further hydrogen bonds mediate the characteristic L-shaped molecular structure. tRNAs have two regions of fundamental functional importance: the anti-codon, which is responsible for specific mRNA codon recognition, and the 3' end, to which the tRNAs corresponding amino acid is attached (by aminoacyl-tRNA synthetases). tRNAs cope with the degeneracy of the genetic code in two manners: having more than one tRNA (with a specific anti-codon) for a particular amino acid; and 'wobble' base-pairing, i.e. permitting non-standard base-pairing at the 3rd anti-codon position. Lineage: Bacteria; Candidatus Nealsoniibacteriota. The record is from RNAcentral.
GCGGGUGUCGUAUAACGGCCAUUACACGUCCUUGCCAAGGAUGAGAAGAGGGUUCGAUUCCCUUCACCCGCU